UCAGGAGUAGCUGAAAACCUGUAUAAAAGAGUAGGCA
Molecule: regulatory RNA element, 37 nt
Organism: Chitinophaga niabensis
Lineage: Bacteria; Pseudomonadati; Bacteroidota; Chitinophagia; Chitinophagales; Chitinophagaceae
Rfam family: DUF805b RNA
About the family: Bacteroidetes, Chlorobi (1 example), Proteobacteria. Lineage (Flavobacteria)
Source: Rfam